Molecule: ribosomal RNA, 484 nt
Filed under: uncultured bacterium
Lineage: Bacteria
Description: partial 16S ribosomal RNA
Rfam family: Bacterial small subunit ribosomal RNA
Source: RNAcentral
AUUGAACGCUGGCGGCAUGCUUUACACAUGCAAGUCGAACGGCAGCGCGGGCUUCGGCCUGGCGGCGAGUGGCGAACGGGUGAGUAAUGCAUCGGAACGUGCCCAGUAGUGGGGGAUAGCCCGGCGAAAGCCGGAUUAAUACCGCAUACGACCUGAGGGUGAAAGCGGGGGACCGAAAGGCCUCGCGCUAUUGGAGCGGCCGAUGUCGGAUUAGCUAGUUGGUGGGGUAAAGGCUUACCAAGGCGACGAUCCGUAGCUGGUCUGAGAGGACGACCAGCCACACUGGGACUGAGACACGGCCCAGACUCCUACGGGAGGCAGCAGGGGGGAAUUUGGGACAAUGGGGGCAACCCUGAUCCAGCCAUGCCGCGGGCGGGAAGAAGGCCUUCGGGUUGUAAACCGCUUUUGUUCGGGAAGAAAGCCUCUGGGCUAAUACCCCGGGGGGAUGACGGUACCGGAAGAAUAAGCACCGGCUAACUACGUG